GACGAACGCUGGCGGCGUGCCUAAUACAUGCAAGUUGAGCGCUGAAGGUUGGUACUUGUACCAACUGGAUGAGCAGCGAACGGGUGAGUAACGCGUGGUGAAUCUGCCUUUGAGCGGGGGACAACAUUUGGAAACGAAUGCUAAUACCGCAUAAAAACUUUAAACACAAGUUUUAAGUUUGAAAGAUGCAAUUGCAUCACUCAAAGAUGAUCCCGCGUUGUAUUAGCUAGUUGGUGAGGUAAAGGCUCACCAAGGCGAUGAUACAUAGCCGACCUGAGAGGGUGAUCGGCCACAUCGGGACUGAGACACGGCCCAAACUACUACGGGAGGCAGCAGUAGGGAAUCUUCGGCAAUGGACGAAAGUCUGACCGAGCAACGCCGCGUGAGUGAAGAAGGUUUUCGGAUCGUAAAACUCUGUUGGUAGAGAAGAACGUUGGUGAGAGUGGAAAGCUCAUCAAGUGACGGUAACUACCCAGAAAGGGACGGCUAACUACGUG
This 497-nucleotide ribosomal RNA is filed under the name uncultured bacterium. RNAcentral's name for it is "partial 16S ribosomal RNA". It matches the Rfam family "Bacterial small subunit ribosomal RNA", at positions 28 to 507 of the family's 1533-position model. The record is from RNAcentral.